GCCCAGCUAGCUCAGUCCAUAGAGCAUGAGACUUUUAAUCUGAGGGUCGUGGGUUCGAGCCCCACGUUGGGCA
RNAcentral lists this transfer RNA (73 nucleotides) under Rhipicephalus microplus (southern cattle tick). RNAcentral describes it as "tRNA-Lys". It matches the Rfam family "tRNA". From Rfam's summary of the family: Transfer RNA (tRNA) molecules are approximately 80 nucleotides in length. Their secondary structure includes four short double-helical elements and three loops (D, anti-codon, and T loops). Lineage: Eukaryota; Metazoa; Arthropoda; Arachnida; Ixodida; Ixodidae. The record is from Rfam by way of RNAcentral.